AUAGCUAGCAACGUUGAUCAUUGACCAAUGUUCUCGAUUCAACCGAUCAGUUUUUGGCCGGAGGAUGGUAGAUGGGAGUUGGUGAUGCGUACGUUGGCGCUGGGGGGUGGUACUCAGGCUCAGGCUUUGGUUUGGGCUCAGGCUUAGGCUUCGGUGGCACAGGUUUCUUGUGGAAGUGGUCAAAGAACUUGUGAUAGUCAUGGUCCUUGUGGAAGUGAUCAAGGAAGUGCUUCUUGUCAAACGAUAUUUCUUUCACAACCGGAGGGUGGUAGAUCGGAGUCGGAGACCCGUAUGUGGGUGUCGGGGGGUGGUACUCAGGCUUAGGCUGCGGCUUUGGCUUUGGUGGCACGGGCUUCUUGUGGAAGUGGUCAAAGAUGUGGUGGUAGUCAUGGUGUUUGUGGAAGUCAUCGUGCAAGGGAUUCUUGUCGAACAAGUGCCUGGCAGGAGGGUGGUAGAUUGGUGUAGGUGACCCAUAUGUUGGCGUUGGUGGGUGGUACUCAGGCUCAGGUUGAGGUUUGGGCUCUGGCUUGGGCUUGGGUGGCACAGGCUUCUUGUGGAAGUGGUAAAAAAAGUGGUGGUAGUCAUGGCCUUUAUGAAAGUGAUCAGGCUCAGGCUGCGGCUUAGGCUGCGGCUUGGGCUCCGGCUUUGGCUUUGGUGGCACGGGCUUCUUGUGGAAGUGGUCGAAGAAGUGGUGGUAGUCGUGGUCCUUAUGAAAAUGGUCGAGCAAGGGCUUCUUGUCAAACAAAUGUCUAGCUGGAGGGUGGUAGAUCGGUGUGGGUGACCCGUAUGUUGGAGUCGGAGGGUGGUAUUCUGGCUGUGGCUUGGGCUCUGGCUUCGGCUUUGGUGGAACUGGCUUCUUGUGGAAGUGGUCAAAGAAGUGGUGUGGCUUAGGUUCUGGUUCUGGUUUGGGUUCUGGCUUCGGCUUCAGCGGAGAUGGCUUCUUGUGGAAGUGGUCCAAGAAGUGGUGAUAGUCGUGGUCCUUGUGGAAGUGAUCAACCAUGUGCUUCUUGUCGAACAACUGCCUUGCUGGAGGAUGGUAGAUUGGAGUUGGGGAUCGAUAUGUUGGCGUAGGGGAGUGGUACUUCGGCUGCGGCUUAGGUUCUGGCUUUGGCUUUGGCUCUGGCUUCGGCUUCGGUGGCACAGGCUUCUUGUGGAAAUGGUCCAACAGGUGCUUCUUGAUCGGCCCGCAUAGGGUUGCCGACGCGCAUUCUGCCGACGGGUAGUCUGUCUUGCCAGGGACCACGACGAAGUUGCCAUCGGACGACUGCGGCACAAUCCUGGAAGGUUCCUGACCGGGGCACGGGGUGCCCGCGGCGCUGUGGAGCUGCGCAACGCAGUCAGCGGCGUGCAUGUCCGUGCUCAGCGGGAUGCUGAAGGCGCCGGAGACAUCUAGCUUGCCUAUGGCCUUGCUCUCGUACUCGCCUUUGCUGUUCCUGCACUUGAUCGCCACCUCAAGACCUGAAAUGCAUGGAUCGAAAAGCACCGUCAGUACCAGCAGCUAGCUUCUUCUGACCUUACUGAUCAGCUUAAAGCAUUGAGUAUCCACUGUUUAUGUUAUUAGCUUAAUUAAAUAUGCAUGUAUAUUAUUCCUAGUAUAUUUACCCUUGAAUGCCGCUUCGGCCUUCAUGUUCUUCCUGGUGCAAUCGGCGCAUUUGGCGAGGCCGAUAACCACCGAGGACGCCUCACUGGAGGCAGCGCUUGCGACGGCUAUUACCAUCAGCACGGCGAAAAUGCCGGGGAGAAGGCCCCCAUGUACCGCAGCCAUGGCUAGAUGGAUGACUCGAUGAGAUGAAGAAGAGGCAAUGCAAUGCCUGCCUUAUAUAGGCCUACGCAUUGAUCAAACACAGCUCGAUCUUACAUGCAUGCACGCAUGAUCACGAGCUGGUGAGGACUGAGGCGCCAGCACACAUAAUUUUGGCGCCGAAAUUGCAGACCGGCCGGGAAUUAAUGCCGUCCAUUUGAGUUGAUCAAUCUCUGUCUGUCCAUUCAUCAUGUCCAGUCGGUUGGUAGUAGUUGGAGUUGUGUAAGUUACGUCAGUUGCGGCACUUUGGAUUUGCAUGCAUGCAGCGCCAGUACAUGCCCUGUGUAAUGCAGGUUUCCAUUGGUCACAUCGGAAAAGCAAAGCUUGUAAAAGCGCGUGUCCGGUGUGCUCAUCUGCUGGACAAUAAAUUUCAGAACAGUAUAGUAUAGUUUGGUUUGUUUCAGAAAAGGGACAGUACUUUCGGAAUGUGGAUACAAAAUAAGUUCUUUCUGACCGCGUGUAGUUGGAUACAACAUAUAGUAGCACAAAAAAGCUCUAUGAUGACGGUAGUGUCUAAUUUAUAGACGCGGCGAGCCCAAUUCAAGAACCGCCACUGUAAACCCAUUUACACUGACAGUUCACUUAAGGAAACUGUCAGUGUCAAUAGUGCAUUUCCACUAGCGGUUUCCUUAAGUGCUGUGCAAAUAGAUUUACACCAGUGGUACCUUAUGUCAGCCGCCAGUGAAGUUUUUGGUAUAAAUACUCAUUCUUCCUCCACGAGUAGAACUGUUUCUCACAACCACCUUCUAUUAGAGGCCAUUUUGGAGGUCUAGAUUUUUAGGAGGUUGCUAAGAAAUGUUAGUUUAUAUCUCUCUUGCCUCUUUUUGUUCAUUCUUGCUCAAUUUGAACCACUUUAUGGAUCUAGGAUUUCACCAUAUGUUAGAGAGAAGAAUAGCUAGGUUAUUAUCUUUAUUUGCUCAAAUGAUCUUAAGAUUGUUAGAUGAUGUCUCUCCUCUAUCCCUUUUUAUUUUUGCUUCUCACUUUAGUUUAUCCAAGAUAUAUUUAGUUAUUUUCAUGAAUUGUGUGUUCUUGUCUAUUUAUGUAGAUAGAGAAAUAUAGGUUCUUUUGUUAGUUUUAUAAAUUGUGUAGUUUUUUGUCUUCAUUUCUCAAUUUGAUUUAAUUAUCCACUAUGUAUUUAUGUUUCAUGAAUGGUGUGUUUGUAUGUAGAGGGGAAGAUAGGUUUCUUAAUUAAUUAAGAUUAUUGUGUUUAUUAAUUAGAAAAUAUGAAAGAGGUUUCUUUGUUUACCACUAUGUUGUUGACUGAGGUUACUUAGUACGGUUAAUUUUAUUCUUCUAACUUUUAGCGAACCUUGCUUCAAGGUCUAUAAAUUGGAAAAUAUACAAGUGGGAGGUUUUCAUCUUCAUUUCUUCGAAAGAGGUUGGUGAUCAAAAGAUUAGAUAAUAAAUAUCUCUAGACAAUCAUACUUGUUUUGCAUUGAUUAUAAUUAAUUCAUUAUAUUUUUUAUAUGUAAUGAUGGAGAGGUCAUUUUGGAUGUAUAAUUUAUCAAGACUAAAUCCAUCAUAUAUACCCGAGGUCCCUAGGUUUUUUGAUGCUGACUAAGAACCAUGCUUGGAGAACAAAGAUGAAGCACAUCUAUUGUCCAUGCAUAGACUGUACAAAUGUUAUUGUAUUUGAUGACACUAAAUCAAUCAUUUAUUAUUUGGUCUAACAAGAAUUUAUGAUGGAUUACUUGUUUUGGACAAAGGGUAGCUUGCGCCUUAUACAAAUAGAAACCUUACGAACAUCGACGUUGAUGCUGAUGGAUUUCCGUUCCUACAUGAGAUACAACAACCUCUUUCCUAGAGUGAACAUGUUGUGCCAAAUGUUACGGUUAUGGAAGAUGUAGAAUUCUUAGGGUAAAGUUGCAUCAUCAUAUGGAUCCAUGAAUAUUAUUAAUGAAAGGUAUGGAAGCCCUGAUAAAGGCUGCAGAAGAGACUUUGCACGACGAGUCUAAGGGUUAUACCAAAGAGUUCAUGACACUGCGGUCUAUGCUAAAGUUGUCGAUGUUAAAAGCUAGAUAUGGUAUGUCUGAUGCUGGCUUGGAUGCAUUCUUGUGUAUUAUUGCAGACAUGCUUCCAAAGGGAAACAAUGUGUGUGCUAAGACGUACUAUGUAAAGAAACUAAUCAGUCCGCUCACUAUGGGUAUGGAGAAGAUCCACGCGUGUCAUGAUGACGAUGAUUAUAAGGACUUAGAGAGUUGUCCAAAGUGUGGUGCAACUACGUACAAGACAAAUAAAGACUAUCGAGAGAAAGAGUGUGUUGCCUCCAUUUCUAAAGGAAAGAAGCGAAAGGAGACCAAAUAGAACAAACAAUAAAGUUCAAAAUCUAGAAAAAUAUUCCUACUUUGAUGAUGUGGUGUAACACCCUAGUGUUAAGUAUGCAUUAAGGCUUCAUCAAACUUAUAUGAGCAUUGGCACAAGCAUGAGCAUCUCAUGUGUUGUGCUAUAUUUUAUGCAUAUCUUUUAAAUGUGAAUUAAUUUUGAUAAUUGUCAUGCUAUGUCUAAAAAUGCUUGUUAUGCCUAGAUUAAAUUGUUUUAUGCCUAAACUUAAAUUAGAAAAUUUAAGUACCAUUUUUGGAGCCCUAGAAUUAAAGGAGUUGAUUUAAAUUAAAAUUUCGCAAAAUAGAUUUAUUUCAAACCUAGAACUAACUUUAAAUUGAAAUUCAAAAUCCAUUUGGAUUCUUGAUUUGCACCAUAAAGCAAAGUUAUAGAGAAUUUUAUUUUGAGCAACUUUUAUUUUUGGGUCAACUCCUGAAAAUGCAUUUAAAACAGUGUUUAAAAAUUAAUUGAGAAAAUAAAUUCAAAAAAAAGAGAAGGGAGGAGCGCCCUACUGGGCCACGCACCUUGCUUCUGGCCCAGCAGCCAAAGCCGGCCUGGCUCGUGAGCACAUCCCCUUCCUCCUCAGGCGCGCACUGUGGCCAGGUGACGUCGUGGCCGACCGUGCGUAGGCCAGCCGCGCCACGUGGAUGGCAAGCAACGGCAGCGGCUACGACAGUGCCUGCUUGCCCGAGCAGAAGGGGACGACAGCGGCUCUGCGUUGUCCACCUUCUCCACUCCACCCCGACCACACCUCUCUUGCUCUCGUCUCACAAAGCAGAGCUUGA
RNAcentral lists this long non-coding RNA (4905 nucleotides) under Sorghum bicolor (sorghum). Its description in RNAcentral is "long non-coding RNA (SBIC_LNC001159)". Lineage: Eukaryota; Viridiplantae; Streptophyta; Magnoliopsida; Poales; Poaceae. The record is from RNAcentral.